GAUGAACGCUGGCGGCGUGCCUAAUACAUGCAAGUCGAGCGAACAGACGAGGAGCUUGCUCCUCUGACGUUAGCGGCGGACGGGUGAGUAACACGUGGAUAACCUACCUAUAAGACUGGGAUAACUUCGGGAAACCGGAGCUAAUACCGGAUAAUAUAUUGAACCGCAUGGUUCAAUAGUGAAAGACGGUUUUGCUGUCACUUAUAGAUGGAUCCGCGCCGCAUUAGCUAGUUGGUAAGGUAACGGCUUACCAAGGCAACGAUGCGUAGCCGACCUGAGAGGGGGGUGGGCCCACUGGGAACUGGAACGCGGGCCAGACUCCGACGGGGGGCAGCAGUAGGAAACCUUCGGCAAAGGGGGAAAGCCUAACGGAGCAACGCGGGGUGAGUGAUAAAGGUUUUCGAAUCGUAAAACUCUGUUAUUAGGGAAAAAAAAAGGUGUAAGUAACUAUGCACGUCUUGACGGUACCUAAUCAAAAAGCCCCGGCUAACUACGU
This 496-nucleotide ribosomal RNA is filed under the name uncultured bacterium. RNAcentral's name for it is "partial 16S ribosomal RNA". It matches the Rfam family "Bacterial small subunit ribosomal RNA", at positions 28 to 506 of the family's 1533-position model. The record is from RNAcentral.